This is a long non-coding RNA of Olea europaea var. sylvestris, 436 nucleotides long. RefSeq lists it as uncharacterized. The record is from RefSeq and is a predicted model, not a curated record. NCBI's taxonomy places the organism in Eukaryota, Viridiplantae, Streptophyta, Magnoliopsida, Lamiales, Oleaceae. The transcript has 2 exons.
CCCACCCCACGCCCUCACAUGCAAAUUCCAUUAUCUUUUUCCAUUCAUUCAUUUUGAGCCUCCCCCAAAUGCACACACAUAUUGUAAAGGAUAAUAGCGACUUCCAAUAGAGACAGAGCGAUGGACGCACCCGAGGUUCAAUCUAUUGAGACUUCCAGCAAAGACUUACCUCUUCCUCAAGAAGACGAACAAGACAAAGCUUUCAAUGAAUGUUGCUCCUGCUUUUAUGACUGCACGGAUUCCCUCAUUGACUACUUUUGCUGCACCGACAUCUGUUAAUUACUUCAAUUUUAUUUUCUUCUUGUAUUUAUUGGAGAUAUGCACAUCGCGCGGAUGAGAAUUUACUUCAUUUUUGUUCUUCAGAUCCGUUUCUGUGCUCCUUUUCGUUCUGAAUUAACUUUAUUUUCGUUAUAACACUAGUCAAUUUCUGCUCUCA